This 290-nucleotide long non-coding RNA is filed under the name Nicotiana benthamiana. RNAcentral's name for it is "long non-coding RNA (NBEN_LNC033855)". Lineage: Eukaryota; Viridiplantae; Streptophyta; Magnoliopsida; Solanales; Solanaceae. The record is from RNAcentral.
CAAGCACAAGCUGAUUUCUCUAUUGGUGGAUCUCUUGGACCCGUCGAAGGCUUUAACAUUGAUAGCUCCAUCUUUGAUCUCAUGCAAACCUUUCCCCAAUGUCCUGAGAUUUAUUAGUGGACAAUUAUCAAGGUUGGAUCCCCCGUCGACCAAAGUGAUGAAGUAAUCUUUGUUUUGCACGGUAAUGUGCUAUGCCUUGUUGUAACUGAGUCCUUCUGGUGGUAGCUCAUCCUCUUGGAAGGUGAUCUUGUGACUUUCCAACACUUGUCCUACCAUAUUUUCCAUCUCGC